Mauremys reevesii (Reeves's turtle) is the source of this 2367-nucleotide long non-coding RNA. RefSeq lists it as uncharacterized. The transcript has 6 exons. Lineage: Eukaryota; Metazoa; Chordata; Testudines; Geoemydidae. The record is from RefSeq and is a predicted model, not a curated record.
AGCAUCUCCCCCGGGGAAGAAGGGGCCCCACCCAGCAUGGUUCAGUUCUCCCCCUGCUGCAACACGGCUGCCCAAACAGGAGGGAGGAAGAGCCCCGCGGAAGGUCCUGUACGGCAUUUGGCCCAGAAUUCACAAAGGUGGGCGGACGGCAAAGGGCCCCUUGCAGCUGAAUUCUCCCCCACUGAGUAAGUCACUGAGUGGUGAAGAAAACCUGAAACUCUUUGGAAAAUGCAACAAUCCAAACGGACAUGGACACAACUAUAAAGUGAGAAAUUGACAGGAAAGUAAAGUUUGUCUAGAAGAUCACACAGUAACUCAGAUGCAUUUCCCAGCAAGAUCCCCCAGAGAUCUCAUCUCCUCCAGGCAAGAGGAAAGGAAGCAAACAUUCAGGUCACUGCCCCUUCCUGCAAAGAAGACAGCUCCCCCAGGAGAGCCAGUCCCCUCCAGGCCAGAGGAAAGGCAGCGAACAUCCAGGUCAUUGCAAAGAGCACAGGGGAGUGUGGGUGUCCCGGAUGCAAAGCAGGAGCAGACCUGGCUGGGCCCAGCCUCAGGAGCAGGGCAAAGUCUGCAACAUGAUUAACAAGAAGUAUAACCAGUUCCUCCCAAGCAUGCAGAGCGCUGAGGACUUGGUGUCACAAGUGGACAGUCUGUCCGGCAACAUCGACCUACUGAAAUCCAGGAUCGAAAAUGAGGUGACACGGCAGCGGUUUCACUUUAUCUGUAUCUAGCAGCUUUCAUCCUGCAUCAUCCCAAAGCAGUACAACCCCACUGACGUGCAGCCAUGAGCAUGCUGCACAGGAAGGCAGGGGAGGAGGAUCUUGGCUAAGGAUUCCAGGAUGAAUAGCCGCCUCUUAUAAAGAGUGCCCUUGACUGAAACAUACCAAUGUAUGAUGUAGCAGACCUGGGAUAUAAAUAAAGGGCGGGCUGUAGCUGAAUGGUUUUCUGUGCUGCUCAUCACAGUAGUUUCAGAGCCUCUCGUGUAUAUUAAUGCAUUUAUCUUCUAAGCCUCUCUGCAUUCAGAUAGGGAGGAAUCAUUCUUAUUUUGCUGAUGAGGAAACUGAGGCACAAAGCAGUGGAAUGACCUUGGCCAAGGUCACACGGAGAUUCUGUGCAGAGCUGGGAACCGAGCCCAGAUUUUCUGUAUAUUGAUUGGAAGACUGUCCUUCCUGUGGCCUGCUUAUAUUUUUUGUGCCCAUCGUCCUUUCUAUACCCCUGGACUAAUUCUUUUAGCUGUUCUCUGCCUUGCCACUCUGGCUUUGAAAUGUAAGUUAGAAAGGCUCUAAUGCAGGUGAGAUAUUACAUCUGGAUUUUUUCUUCGCAGAGGAGGAUGAUCAACUCAAAAAUCGUACACUGUGAAAAUAACUUUUACAUCUGAUACCAGUUAUGCUAUGUUAAAAGUGAACGAAUCUUAAAUAUCCAUUUUACUUGUCUCUGUUUAUUUGUUGCCGUGUAUUCAUGUUUUUCGGUGUAUACAAUAACAAUCAGUGACAUCAGUUACACUUGUCUGUAGUCAAUUUCAGCUUUGGGUUCCUAGUGCUGCAGUAUUUAAGGAACAAACAAUGCAGGAGAUUGUUCGUUUGUUUAUUUAACAGUUUGGGGAUCUUUUUUUAAAAAAAGGAGAAACGCAUCUCUUGAUCUUGCAUGCCUAUGGAAGCUUUUAAAAUGUAUAGUUAAACUGUACUUUUCAAAUUGACAUUUAUCUAAUUUAAAAUUGGAAAACUGUUAAAGGGACUCUGGAAUUUUUUUACUGGAAUCAUUUUUUUUUAAAGAUCUGCAAUUUGAUAUCGCCCUGUUCUGCUUUUUUUCAAAAAUUACCGUACAAUAAUGGUUUUUUUUUUUUAACGAGUUUUUCUUCUCCUCUGCUGUUUAACAGGGUCUUUCUAGUGAGGUUAAAAAGUCUGACCAUACAGAGAAAGUGAAUAUAUAUACAUUUCUGUCUACUGCAUUGGGUAAAUACACUGGGGAAAUAGAACCUCUUUUCCUUCUAAGUUCUUUCAGUUAUAAUAACCGUAGGUAUUGUUUGUAACUUUGGGAGGUACGUACGUUUCAGGCAGCACGCUGGUGUUGUCAUGUCGGUGUUACUUUUGAAAUAGAAAUGGCUCUCAUAGCCUUUGGUUACUGUAAAUGAACUGCUGUAGCCUUGCUGUCUGUGCUGCUGUUCUAGGUCUAGCAAGAUCUGAAUGUGGCUAUUGCUGAAUUUACUGAAUUGAAGCAGCAGCUGGAGCGAGUUCUGAGUGUGCCGAAACAGCUGCAAGAGGUGAGGAAGGAGGCUGGGAAAAUGACUUAAGAUCACUAAGUGUUUCUGUAUUUUUUUUUCCACUGACUUCUUCCUGGGUCUCCAUCGUGAAUAAAUGAUCAUGACUCUUC